RNAcentral lists this ribosomal RNA (250 nucleotides) under uncultured prokaryote. RNAcentral describes it as "partial 16S ribosomal RNA". It matches the Rfam family "Bacterial small subunit ribosomal RNA", at positions 524 to 773 of the family's 1533-position model. The record is from RNAcentral.
GACGUAGGAAGCAAGCGUUGUCCGGAAUAACUGGGCGUAAAGGGUGCGUAGGCGGCUUUUUAAGUCUGAUGUGAAAUCCCGUGGCUUAACCAUGGAACUGCACUAGAUACUGGGGAGCUGGAGUGCGGAAGAGGUUGACGGAAUUACUAGUGUAGCGGUAGAAUGCGUAGAUAUUAGUAAUAAGACCGGUGGCGAAGGCGGUCAACUGGGACGUAACUGACGCUGGGGCACGAAAGCGUGGGGAGCAAAC